CAAGGACAUACACACACAUGGAAAAGGCCGUGUGAGAACACAGCAAGAAGGUGGCUACCGGCAAGCCCAGGAAAGAGUUCUCACCGGAAACCAAUCUUACAGGCACCUGAUCUUGGACUUCUGACCUCCAGAACUAUGAUUUGAGAAGCACAGGUAUAGAGAACUUCCAAGGGCCGUCUCUCGGAAAUUGACCCCUGUGUGGAGGAAAUAUAAAGGUUUUUUGUCCUGCCUGGAUUUGGCUUCUGAAACUGCUCUGUCAUCGUGCUACAAUCCAAAGCUCAGAGGAGGACACGGCUGAGAGUUACUGCAGGGAAGCAAAGCUGCAGCCCUGGCACCAGGGAGCCAUGAGCCAGCUCUUCCGACACAUCCUCAGUAUAUAGGAUAAUUGCUUUGCUGUCAAAGCCAGUGUGAGUCAGGAUUUUCUGCUCCAGAUAACCCAGGCUUCAGGGCAAGGGCACAGCCCAGCUCCUCCAAGACGCCUUCGUUGAUGUGCCCACCCUUCAAGGCUCUUCUCACCUUAGACUUCUGGUGCCACUGCCUGGGCUGGCAGCUGCACUGGUCGUCACUGAACUCGUACAGCUUUGUGCCAUCAUUCAACUUUUAGUGCGUUAGAUCUCCAUCCACCACCGCCAUCCACCACACUGAGAGCCUUAAGGAGAGUGUGCGGGUUAUUAAUGUCUGUAUUCCCCAUACCAGCACCCAUCCUGCAAGUGAAUAAGCCCGAUUAAGCCCAAAAGUUUUGGUUGCACCUUCUCCUCAGCCAGUGGGCACCUACUGGUGUUACAGUUCUGAGACUUAGAAGGGCACAUCAGUGAUUCCUCAUGUAAUAAAGAAUAUUUGUUCUAAAAUAUUGCCCUCUCUUCCUUUUUAGAAAAGCAGCUAGCAUUUUUUAAACUUCUGCCACAUAUCAGUCACCUCAUUAUAAAUGGGUGAAUCUAGUAAUCAAAGCCACUAUUGCUUAUUUUUUCUUAAAUAUGUGAAUUGGAAAGAAUGAGACCUACCUCAAUGUGGUGAAAAGUGAGCGAGAUAAUGCAAGCAAAACCCUAUCAUAGCUCAUGGCAUAAGUCAGAGAUCAACUAAUAGCAGAGGUUCUAUGGAGCAGAUGAUGCCUGGAUAGUACAUGCGAGGCCAAAUCUAGUCAAAUCAGCUGGAAGGGAGAAUCCACUCAAAGGGAUUGCUGCAGGCAAUGAACUAUUCAGGUCUUUGCUAGGUAAGAAGAGAGAUUAAUUGUGGAUAGUGACUGAGGCUUUAAAAGAAGACAUGAAAGGCUGACAUGUAUCAUUGUCCUGAUUCUUUAUAGCUCCAAGUAGAGGUUUUAUCCUGUGAUGAUCAGGUAUAACAAUAAAACUCCUGUAACCUGGAAAUCUAAUUUUCUCUUCUAUUUGGGCCAGAAUGGAAAUAUGUCGCUGUUUUCCCAUGGUUGAGUGCUGCCUAUGCUCUUCAUUCUCCCAAAUAAAAAUUUCCCUGAGCAAGAGAAGUUGAGAGAAUGGCCUUAGACGGAUGAAACUCGUCACUAAUAACCAUAAGUGGUGCACUCUCUCCCAAUCUUUAAAAUUGCAAGAAAGAGUUCAAUGAGUUUGAGUCUCUAGUGCGAAAUUCAAAACUUAGACAAUUUGCAAAUAUUUUUUUUUGUUACGUGAUAAUUCCGAUCAACCACCAUGGCUCAAAACAAGACUCUUAUGACAGUCUUUCGGAAAACCAUAGUGUUAAAUCCAGCCUCAUUUGUUCCAUACACCACUCCUGCUGCAUGAGGUUGUAACGAUGCUUUUAUUGUGUGCUGCCAUCUGCUUCAAGACUGUAUCUCCUUUCCAUUCAAAUGUUAGUUGAGUCUCACACCAG
RNAcentral lists this long non-coding RNA (1839 nucleotides) under Equus caballus (horse). RNAcentral's name for it is "lncRNA (ENSECAG00000053371.1)". The record is from RNAcentral. Lineage: Eukaryota; Metazoa; Chordata; Mammalia; Perissodactyla; Equidae.